Molecule: ribosomal RNA, 398 nt
Filed under: uncultured bacterium
Lineage: Bacteria
Description: partial 16S ribosomal RNA
Rfam family: Bacterial small subunit ribosomal RNA
Source: RNAcentral
AUAUUGCACAAUGGAGGGAACUCUGAUGCAGCAACGCCGCGUGAGUGAAGAAGGUUUUCGGAUCGUAAAACUCUGUCAUUGGGGAAGAAUAAAUGACGGUACCCAAUGAGGAAGCCCCGGCUAACUACGUGCCAGCAGCCGCGGUAAUACGUAGGGGGCGAGCGUUGUCCGGAAUUAUUGGGCGUAAAGCGCGCGCAGGCGGCUUCUUAAGUCUGAUGGGAAAUCUCGCGGCUCAACCGUGAGCGGUCAUUGGAAACUGGGGAGCUUGAGUACAGAAGAGGAGAGCGGAAUUCCACGUGUAGCGGUGAAAUGCGUAGAGAUGUGGAGGAACACCAGUGGCGAAGGCGGCUUUCUGGUCUGUAACUGACGCUGAGGCGCGAAAGCGUGGGGAGCAAACA